CUUCAGCAGGAGUAACUCACCCUGCUCACUGUACAACACAUCGUGGGCACAAAGCGUCUUCCAGGGAAUACGCAGCACUCAGAAAGGUUCAUUCUUCAGCCUGAACAAAGUGAGGAAGAAAGAUGCCUUGCAACAUCAGCAAACAGGGCACAUUUCCCUCUACAGGAUGGGAGCUGGUCAACUCCAUAUUCCUCAGAAGUUUGAGAUCAGGUUCUUCACGUGCCUAAUUUGGACUUAAUUCAAGGCUGGGAUAAAUCAUUACAACUCAGAUGAAGUCAGUAAGAGCACAGUGACUUACAUCAGCUCUGUGUCAGUAAAUACUGACAAAAUUGAUCUCAAACUUUUUCAGAACAAAAGAUUUUUGAAGAUGGAUUAAACAACAUAAAUGCUGAGCUGUUUUGCUAGACUGCAAAUGGCAUAACACAUGCUUUGUGUGACAUCUCUGAAUUAUUC
RNAcentral lists this long non-coding RNA (453 nucleotides) under Gallus gallus (chicken). RNAcentral's name for it is "long non-coding RNA NONGGAT006689". Lineage: Eukaryota; Metazoa; Chordata; Aves; Galliformes; Phasianidae. The record is from RNAcentral.